This 247-nucleotide ribosomal RNA is filed under the name uncultured bacterium. Its description in RNAcentral is "partial 16S ribosomal RNA". It matches the Rfam family "Bacterial small subunit ribosomal RNA", at positions 86 to 334 of the family's 1533-position model. The record is from RNAcentral.
CGAUGGCGACCGGCGCACGGGUGAGUAACACGUAUCCAACCUGCCGAUGACUCGGGGAUAGCCUUUCGAAAGAAAGAUUAAUACCCGAUGGCAUAGUUCUUCCGCAUGGUAGAACUAUUAAAGAAUUUCGGUCAUCGAUGGGGAUGCGUUCCAUUAGGUUGUUGGCGGGGUAACGGCCCACCAAGCCUUCGAUGGAUAGGGGUUCUGAGAGGAAGGUCCCCCACAUUGGAACUGAGACACGGUCCAA